Long non-coding RNA from Myotis brandtii (Brandt's bat), 721 nucleotides. RefSeq lists it as uncharacterized. Lineage: Eukaryota; Metazoa; Chordata; Mammalia; Chiroptera; Vespertilionidae. The record is from RefSeq and is a predicted model, not a curated record. The transcript has 3 exons.
CUCUGUUUUGUUUUUAUUAUAGGCAUUCACUGCUAUGAGUUUCUCUCUGAGCACACGCGCUUUUGCCACAUCCCAUAUGUAUUGCUUUAACUCCCUGAAUUGCCCACAAAGUCUCCACUCUGAUCAAAUGGGUUUAUUCAUCUGGUGAUAGAAAAGAGCCUGUGCUUUGCUAUCUUUCUGCCAUAGCACUUGCUGCUUCUCCAAGCUGAGAAGGCUGGAGAUCCCUUUCUCUUUCUCCCCACGGAUCAAAUCGAAUUCAGAAAUACUGGUAAGUCUAGCUCAAAUCUCAGUCCAUAAACUCUUCCUGACCUCCUAGCAGGAAGGAAUUUUUCCUUCCAUUGAAGUCCCUUGGCACAUGGUAUUUGCACCAUUUUGAGGGGCAAUAAAAAUAUACUGUCUUGUAACAGUUCCUUGUCUUGUUUUUUUUUUUAUUUUCAAAUGUUAUUUAAAUCUUGUUUCUUACUUUCCCACUGGCAUAUUUCUAUCAUCUGGCUACAACUGUACCAAACGACGACUGAAGGAAGAGAUCAGCCUUGCCAUUUGCUCAGCACUGAACUUUGCACAUAGAAGGAGCUUGGUUGAAGACCAGGCGACGGCAAGAAGUAAAAGUGCAUCAGAUUAAAGGCUAUGCUGAAUACCUUAAAAUCCUCCACCAAACAGUUCCUUUAGCAUGCAUCAAGUUGUAUUCUCUGAGCACAAAAAUAAAUACUUUUUAAAAUAA